Pezoporus occidentalis (night parrot) is the source of this 4396-nucleotide long non-coding RNA. RefSeq lists it as uncharacterized. The record is from RefSeq and is a predicted model, not a curated record. Lineage: Eukaryota; Metazoa; Chordata; Aves; Psittaciformes; Psittacidae. The transcript is spliced from 2 exons.
CAAAGAUUAUGCUUAACUCUGGUGGUGACGUUGAACAGCAUUCCAACUCACCGAAAGUGUAAUGUCCAUGAAUACAGACUUAGAUCGAUGUUCUACAGAAUUCAGUGGGAAAACUUCUGCAUGUGAUGAGUUAAAGUUCCCACUCCCUGCUGUGUUUCAUUAAGGACUAAAGGCAGGUUUUUUUAUGCUCUAGAAUGGCUUGUGGGCUUCUUUCAGAAAGGACACACUGCUGAGCAGCACCUCUGUUCCUAGGUAUCUCACUUGGAAGGUCCUAAAAGUUGAUAGUGGUUUUUUUUUCUCUCCAGUUACUCACAGGCAUUAAAUAAACUGAAAAUGCAAUGGUGAUACAAGUGCCAAAUUGCUGAGAUAUGCAGAUGACUUCUCUCCAUGCCCUUUCCUGUCGAGGACCAUAGUGCCAGCCAGCAAGAUGGCUGGUUGCCUUUGCCUGAUCAAGGAAUGCUUGAGGAACAGCUAAUGGCUGAACACCUCUAAAAUGGAGUUGAUGGUUGUGAAGGGCAGGAGGAGUUGCUAGGAGUUGGUAACUAGUGUUCAUCUAAAAAUAUGUGCCUGCAGUCACUCCCUCUAGCCUGUAAUUCAGGAACCUGCUUAAAAUCUCUCACAUUAUGAUGUCCACAAAGCAUGAUCUUCAUUAUCUCCAGGUGAUUAGAAGAUGAUGUUCCCUUCAGGCAAAAGAUGGCAUCUUCCCAGAUAUUUGCACCUUUGCGUUGUAGCCCACAGCCAUUUGGUGUCCCUGGACCCGAAGGAGUAGGGCUAAUUUGUUUUGUACAGCAUGUAGGAGUGUGAGGCAGCGCCAGUCUCCAUGAGCAUCCUAGCACUGGCUUCCAGGCAGUUUUAAAUCCUUUUUGAAAUUCUGGGUGUUUAUCUUUCAGUUUCCUUGUAGCUGGACCUUGCUUGGGUAUUUUUAUUAUAGUCUUGUGACAAAAACUGUGAUGAGUGGCUUUGUGCCUCCAGCACAAUUGGCUGCUCUACAGUAGUGGUUUUAACUCUCUUUUUUUCCCCAAACAUCUUCUAUGGACUCAUGGACAGCUUAGCAAUGAUUUUAACCUCAACUGUGUUAAUCUUGGGCAUUGCGAGUUUGUUGAGGUUUUAUCAAUAGAAACCUGUCAAAAGCCAGUGCUCUACAGCCAGUGCAGAGUUAGCCUGUGCUCCAGGCAGGAUUUUCCUGUAGGAUGGUUUGAAAUGGAUACGUGGACUUCCCCACAACUUUCCAGUCACAUGCCUGGUCUCGUGCGCCGUGUAUGUGGUUGACUUCAUUCUUGCCUUCCCUAUCAUGACCACAGGGGCUCUUGUUUACAGUGCAAACAAAACGCUGCUUGAGUUGUUUUCUUUGUGGAGGGGAUGAGAGAAGAAGUAACAUGAGGUAAUGAUUCCUCGGUGAGCUAGUGCUGGGGACAGUGUGGUGAUACCCCCUAGCACUUCUUGAUCCCUAUUACAGUGAAAUAUAAGCUGUUGCACCCUUCAGAAAGCAAAGGAAAUGUGCCAUGUGGCAGGCAAAGAAGAAAGCAUCGUUUUGUCCCAUAGCAUCUUUAUUUACAGAGUUUAUCCUGAGAGGCUCAAAGCAUCACUAACUGUAACAGAGACUCAGUACACAAUGACUUACUUUCCCCAGUGAAUCAACAAUUAUAAAUGGACAUUUAAGUUUUGAGGUCUUUGUAUAUCCCUAAUGCAGGAAUGAAGCUCCCAGAUCAGCUGAUGCUGGUGAGGAGAUGUAGAUGCGUUAUUAGGUAUAACUUGGUUUAUCUCCUUUGACAAUUUUCUGAUACCUCUUGAUCAUUAAGGUCUGGAUUAAGUGGGGAAAAAGCAUUGCUUGUAUAGGUGCUAUGUAGCUUAUGCCUCAGAUCUUUUAUGAGGGAGUUUAGGUGCUUAAUGUCUUAUAAUUCAGAAAGAAAAAUCAGCCUUGUGUCCAGCUUCCCUCUGUCAGGGGCCAAGCUGAGGGUUAGGUGAGCACAUAAUAGAAACCCAGAUAUUUGAAAAUCAUGUUUCCAGCUGUAUUUACUGCAACUGUAGAUGAAACGCAUUAAAGAGGAAGGGGCUUUUGUGGGGGUGGUUUUACAUUUGCUGAGUGGGUUUAAUGAGGCUUAAGGUGUCAUUCCUGGAAGAGCAGUCAUUUUCUUUCCUGUGACCUGGCAUCCUGACAUUGUUGUGAUGCACUGCUGUGUCAGGAGCAUCCCUGGCACUGGGAAGAGGUGGCUUUCUGGCAGCGGCAUCAGUGGUGUUGCACAGGUGAGAGAAGAUGCUUGGCAGUUCUGGAAGAGAGUAGGAAAAGUAAGUCUGUAUGUGUCUGGCUGCCCAAAACCCCCAUCCUGAUCUGCAGAGAAACCAGGGUUUCAGUAUUUUGUUCCAAAUCCCUACUCCACUGAAAAUAUAGUUGUUAUUUGUAAUUAAUAAAUAAAUGGCUUUCAUCCUGAGCCUGUAACAGAAAGCAGAAAUCAAACUGUUCUGUCCUUCAGUCUGACCAGAAACGCCUGCUUGUGUUUCACAGGAACUCCACAGGCAUUUCUGGUGCUCCUGAGCUGAUGAAGGAUCAGAAAGGCUAUCACAUUGCUUCACUGUGAUAGCAGAAAUACUGUGCACUUUUCAUCUGAGGAUUACGAAAAGUGAACUUCACCCUGUGAAGCUGUUAUCAUAAUGGUUUAUGGAUGGAGAACUGAGGCUAAUCUCGACAUUCUGAAGGUUACCCUGCAUGCCAGUCACACAAACAGUUGUGUGUCCUGUUUCCUGCUACUUUUUCCCUACCCUUUCUUAAAACACAAGGGGAGAAAUCUAUCUACGCAGGGUCUAACAUAACUUAGCUAAGCAAGCAUCAUUUAAGUUGUUAGGUGAGACCUUCUGCAGGGGGAUAAAUUGGUUGAGAGCUUUGCAGGCUGCUUCACAAAAGACAAAUGACUGCAUGAAAUUUGAUUUGUGGAGAAACUGCUUCCUAGGAGAAAGCAGAACCUCAGCAUCAGUAGAUCUGCAAACUAAUGAUGUAAAAAUAGCUUGGAUAAUAAAAAGCUGGUAAAUAGAGGUAUGAUAGCAGUUGGGAUUCAUGUGAGAGACAAGCUAAUCAGAGUCUGCAGGAAUUUAUUCCCUCACAGGGUUCCUCUGAGUCAGGUCACUUUUAGUUGAAGCAGAAGAAUAUCUAUUUGUAGAAACCUAAAGUUAUCUUCCUGUAAAACAAAGCAGAAAACUGCCCAACUGCAAGCUCGAGCCUGCUCAGAAUAAUCCAGAUUUUUUUUGAAGGACUUUGGGGAUAUAUAUCCUUCUGAAGGUUCCCAUUCUUCCUGUCUUUUCUUUGCCAAGUUAAUAACUAGUUACUCCUUGAUUAUUGCUUAUCAUUGUCUACUUUUUCAUGGAUACAGCAAGGGACUAUGAGGCUGUUAAUAGCUAUGCCCAGAUCACCUUUCCUUCUCAAGCAUGGUUUUAUUAGCUUAAAAAUACCAGUGCGAGUGAAACAUCCUGAAGUUCCCGUACUUUUCCUUUAUGUUAACUGAAAUCCUGAGUGCUUUUCAGAGCAUCCUCAGUGAAUACCAGAAGUGUGUCUCCUUCUUCUUGCCUUAAAUUGCUGCACCCCAACAGCAUUGAUCAACAACAUCAGAUGUGAAAGCUUGACUUAAGCAGUCCUAGUCUCUUUUUCAUCCCGUAGUUGAACACUUUCUUUCAUCUUUUCAGUUGUUCCUAAACACGGCAACAAGCAUGGUUCUGCAACAGAUGCAAUUCUUUCUAGGUCUCUAGGUAACAUUUUAACCUGUGUAAUGCUCACAGCACAGCAUCGUAAGUAAUAUUCCAGGAAAUACGCUGCCGCUUGUUAAAAAGGAUAGGACCCCAGAGAUGCCUUUAAAUAUGCCUGUAAAGUGAGAGGUGCCAAGAGAAAGGAUAAUAUGGCUGAUUAUAGUUAUUUACCUUACAUUUUCAUUCGCCCUUAACUGGGUGUAAUUUAGGGGCAUGAAAUCUCAUAUUGGAAGUGUAUUUGCAUUAAACAGCUCUAAGCAACCAUGAAAGUGCAGAAGCUGAAAAAUUGACAGACUGGGUUCCUAGAAUCCCAAAGUAGCAUUUUUUUUUAAUAGGCAUACAAACAAAUCAAAUAAACAUGUUUUGCUUCAACAAUUUAAAGAAUAUGGUCUUUGGAGUAAUUUGUCUUUUUCUUUUUUUUAGAACUAUCAUUUCUAAGCUUUUCAUUGCCUAUCUCUAGUUUGCAGCUCCUCUUAACAAUCUGCAGCAAUUUCCAACCCAGCUGUUGUGGUUGCAGAGCACUGUGCCUUUGUUUAGCUUUCCCUCAGCUAUCAAAUCGGCCUAUAAAGGGGAUUACCUGGCUGGUGAUGUUGUUUUUCAGGUCUGCACUUUUUAACAAAUAAUUGUUUCACUGUGGCUCUUUCCCUUCUCCCCCUCCUCCACC